This 468-nucleotide ribosomal RNA is filed under the name uncultured bacterium. RNAcentral describes it as "partial 16S ribosomal RNA". It matches the Rfam family "Bacterial small subunit ribosomal RNA", at positions 28 to 507 of the family's 1533-position model. The record is from RNAcentral.
GACGAACGCUGGCGGCGUGCUUUACACAUGCAAGUCGAACGGAAAGGCCCUGCUUUUGUGGGGUGCUCGAGUGGCGAACGGGUGAGUAACAAGUGAGUAACCUGCCCGUGACUUUGGGAUAACUUCAGGAAACUGGGGCUAAUACCGGAUAGGAGCUCCUGCUGCAUGGUGGGGGCUGGAAAGUUUCGGCGGUUGGGGAUGGACUCGCGGCUUAUCAGCUUGUUGGUGGGGUAGUGGCUUACCAAGGCUUUGACGGGUAGCCGGCCUGAGUGGGUGACCGGCCACAUUGGGACUGAGAUACGGCCCAGACUCCUACGGGAGGCAGCAGUGGGGAAUGUUGCACAAUGGGCGGACGCCUGAUGCAGGAACGCCGCGUGCGGGAUGACGGCCUUCGGGUUGUAAACCGCUUUCGCCUGUGACGAAGCGUGAGUGACGGUAAUGGGUAAAGAAGCACCGGCUAACUACGUG